Populus trichocarpa (black cottonwood) is the source of this 2321-nucleotide RNA transcript. RefSeq lists it as uncharacterized. The transcript has 12 exons. NCBI's taxonomy places the organism in Eukaryota, Viridiplantae, Streptophyta, Magnoliopsida, Malpighiales, Salicaceae. The record is from RefSeq and is a predicted model, not a curated record.
AACCUCGUAUAUAUUUUCGAGAAAUCUAUCUACCAAAAACCCAAUUACUGUAAUUUAAGAAGAAGAAAAAAAUCUCUCAAUCAAACCCUGGUGCUAGAGAGACUCGUCUCUCACUCGAUCUCAACAAAACAAGCAUACAGAGACAGAGAGAAAGCAAGAAAGCAAGCAGCAGCAGUGUCUGUCUCUCUCAGUCGAGAUUGGAGAAAUAGAAGAUGGAUGCGAUGAGGAAGCAGCUGGAUGUGCUCAUGGGAGCGAAUCGGAACGGCGACGUAAGAGAGGUCAAUCGCAAGUACUACGAUCGUGAUGUUUGUCGCUUGUACUUGGUUGGCCUUUGCCCUCACGAGCUCUUCCAACUAACGAAAAUGGAUAUGGGACCAUGCCCGAAAGUCCAUUCCCUGCAGCUGAGAAAAGAUUAUGAAGAAGCGAGGGCGAAAGGUGUUGAUAGUUAUGAUGUGGAGUUAGAGAAUGUUAUUGAUAAGCUUAUUGUCGAGUGCGAUAAGAAAAUCGGUAGAGCACUUAAGCGUCUUGAAGAUGAGGACGCCAAGGCAGCUAUUGCUAUUUCAGUCACUGAGGUUACCCAGACUCCUGAGGUUAUUGAGCUGUCGAAGCAGAUUAAGGAGAAGCUGAAAGAAGCUGACAAAUAUGAUCUUGAAGGCACAACAGAUUUUAAGAUUCAAGCUUUGGAAGAAGUGGAAAAACUCAGAAGUGAAAGAGCAGAGAAGCAGUCUGCGCAACUUUUGGAGGCCUUCAAUAAAGACAGGGCUUCUUUACCUCAACCUAUGCCAAAUCCCCCACCAUCAGCACCCAUGCCGCUACCUACUCCUGAUCCUCGCACCCAGGAGAUGAUAAAUGAGAAGCUGAAGAAAGCGGAGGAUCUUGGUGAGCAAGGGAUGGUAGAUGAGGCUCAAAAAGCAUUGGAAGAGGCCGAAGCACUUAAAAAGCUUCCUGCCAGGCAGGAGCCUACUGUGGAUUCCUCCAAGUAUUCUGCUGCCGAUGUGCGCAUUACUGAUCAGAAGCUACGUGUUUGUGACAUUUGUGGAGCUUUUCUGAGUGUGUAUGAUAGCAGGCUUUUGGGCCCAGUUUUACGAGGAUAACUUUUGCAGCUAAAGAAUUGACCGACGACUUGCAGAUCAUUUUGGAGGGAAGCUUCAUUUAGGCUAUAUGCAAAUUCGUGAGAAACUCACAGAGCUUCAGUUUACGCAUUAAAAGCAAUGGCUAGAAUUGGCGUGCUGUGCUAUGUGGGAUAAUCAUUGUUGUUUUACCUCAUCUUUGGGAUGUCUUUAAGUCGGUAUUGUGAAUAUGUUGGCUCAGGUGCUGGUAUAAUAUUUCACAUUAUACUGUAGAGAUUCUCAGUUCAUAUUUGAUCUGAGUUUUUCUGACCUCAAAGAAGAAUAACCUGUUACUGUUUAUUUUUCUUUCCUUUUCCUUUCCUAACCUGGUAUGGCUGCUGAACUUGGAAAGGCAGUAACUCUUUGCAAAAGACACCUGGUGUAUUGGUGUCAAAUAUGCAAAUACAUUGUGUCUAAUCUGUAUUUGUAGAUUGGCAUUAUGUAUGCUAAAAGAUCAUUAGAUGUUGGAUGUAUCCUAGUAUUUAUCUUGUCAAAAGUUAAAAAAUUUUGUUUCAUGAUUGCAAAACAUCUGAUUUUUGCUGACCUUUUUUGGAAGAGAAUAUGUGGAUCUUGAUCAAAGUAUUACAAAAAGUUCUGAUUUGGUUUGUCAAAGAAAGCAGAAUAGAAGAUGAUUUACUAAACCAGAUUUCUUUCUUCUUCUUUUUCCGCAAUUUAGUUUGAGAAAUAUUAUUUGAGUCUAUUUUGUCAAAGCUGUAUUCUUGAACUUGGGUUAACGGUGAUGGUGUAUGGUAUUGUUGUGAUCUGGCUGUUGUAGUUGCAACUUCCUGAAAAAUUGAGAGAAAAAGGGGGAAAGAGGUAGGAAAAAGUAAAAUAACCUUCACUUGCUGUUUAUUUUAUUGAAGAUUUUCAUUAAUGUGUGUUACCCCUGUACUUGUUGCAUUUGUGCAUGUAUUUCAGUCUACAUAUUCCCUAUCAUUAACAAGUUUUCCUGUUUGGGCCUUUGGAUGGUGUUGGACUGCUUGUUUGUUUUGGAGUGCUAAAUUUAUGUCAAACAAUGCUCAACUGUUCAAACAUUUGCAGUUGGAUAUAGCUGUUCCACUCAUUAAACCAGUGGCAGUUUUCAUUUGGGCUUAAUCAUCUGUAUAUCAAGUGAAGUGAUAUUUCAUUUUAUUAAAGAAUGAUUUUCAAUUCUUCACAAUUAAUUUUCUAGGAAAACAAGCACCGCAAGGGUGACCGGUACGAUGAUAGAAG